RNAcentral lists this ribosomal RNA (348 nucleotides) under Salmonella enterica. RNAcentral's name for it is "partial 23S ribosomal RNA". It matches the Rfam family "Bacterial large subunit ribosomal RNA", at positions 1 to 385 of the family's 2925-position model. Lineage: Bacteria; Pseudomonadati; Pseudomonadota; Gammaproteobacteria; Enterobacterales; Enterobacteriaceae. The record is from RNAcentral.
GGUUAAGCGACUAAGCGUACACGGUGGAUGCCCUGGCAGUCAGAGGCGAUGAAGGACGUGCUAAUCUGCGAUAAGCGCCGGUAAGGUGAUAUGAACCGUUAUAACCGGCGAUUUCCGAAUGGGGAAACCCAGUGUGAUUCGUCACACUAUCAUUAACUGAAUCCAUAGGUUAAUGAGGCGAACCGGGGGAACUGAAACAUCUAAGUACCCCGAGGAAAAGAAAUCAACCGAGAUUCCCCCAGUAGCGGCGAGCGAACGGGGAGGAGCCCAGAGCCUGAAUCAGCAUGUGUGUUAGUGGAAGCGUCUGGAAAGGCGCGCGAUACAGGGUGACAGCCCCGUACACAAAAG